RNAcentral lists this long non-coding RNA (441 nucleotides) under Felis catus (domestic cat). RNAcentral's name for it is "lncRNA (ENSFCAG00000052179.1)". The record is from RNAcentral. Lineage: Eukaryota; Metazoa; Chordata; Mammalia; Carnivora; Felidae.
GUUAGAGGACAAGAUUCAGGGCAUAUGUUAAAGGUUUAACUAUAGACAAGAAGAAUGACAUCCUGAAAACAGGAGCAGAAAAGGUACCCUUGAGCAUUCCAAAUCAAUUACAGAAUCACAGUCUGUCUGGAGCAGAGAGAAUGCUACUGUGGUGUUGUCACUUUCUUCAAUCAAUCACGUAUCUCAACUUUGAUUCAUUUUCUUUAUCUGCACCUGAUGGCCUAAGUAUCUCUGACUGGGGGUGAAGAAGGAGUAUGAGGACCCAGAGUGACCACAAGUCUACCAUUGCAGGUUGUUAUAAAUCUUGUUUUGACAUCGGCCAGGUGCUUGCUUAUCUAAUAGUAAAGAAAUACUUUCUCUUUUGCUUGUGAGCUUUAUCAGUCUGAACCCAAGGCUGGGAAAUGAGGGGUGAGUUGUAUCUGGAAGUAUUGUGACACAAAG